AACCGGAAUUUGGUUGUAGGCCUUGA
Molecule: small RNA, 26 nt
Filed under: Bombyx mori (domestic silkworm)
Lineage: Eukaryota; Metazoa; Arthropoda; Insecta; Lepidoptera; Bombycidae
Description: ovarian small RNA-10325
Source: RNAcentral